AAUGAACUACUAAACGUAAUUAGUUUCUCUGAUAUCCCACCUAAGCGACUCUUCAUGUCUUGAACCUUUAAGUUCAAACCCUGUUAAAGAAAGCAACAAUACAACCCAAGUAAUACACAACACAUGUAAUAACAUUUAUUUUUUAUGAACCCAAGUAGAAUAGGACAUACGUAUUACUUCAAGCAAUAUAUUGCACAUAUACAAUCAUACAC
RNAcentral lists this long non-coding RNA (212 nucleotides) under Solanum tuberosum (potato). RNAcentral describes it as "long non-coding RNA (STUB_LNC007926)". Lineage: Eukaryota; Viridiplantae; Streptophyta; Magnoliopsida; Solanales; Solanaceae. The record is from RNAcentral.